This 416-nucleotide ribosomal RNA is filed under the name uncultured bacterium. RNAcentral's name for it is "bacterial SSU rRNA". It matches the Rfam family "Bacterial small subunit ribosomal RNA", at positions 60 to 508 of the family's 1533-position model. The record is from RNAcentral.
AGUCGAACGAGAAAGUGGAGCAAUCCAUGAGUACAGUGGCGUACGGGUGAGUAACACGUGACUAACCUGCCCUCGAGUGGGGAAUAACUUCGGGAAACCGAGGCUAAUACCGCAUAACAUCUACGGAUCAAAUGCGCGAGCAGCUUGAGGAGGGGGUCGCGGCUGAUUAGCUAGUUGGCGGGGUAACGGCCCACCAAGGCAAUGAUCAGUAGCCGGCCUGAGAGGGCGCACGGCCACACUGGAACUGAAACACGGUCCAGACUCCUACGGGAGGCAGCAGUGGGGAAUUUUGCGCAAUGGGGGAAACCCUGACGCAGCAACGCCGCGUGGAGGAUGAAGCCCCUUGGGGUGUAAACUCCUUUCGAUCGGGACGAUUAUGACGGUACCGGAUGAAGAAGCACCGGCUAACUCUGUGC